GACGCAGUGGCCUCCCGAAUCCCCCAGGAAUCUUAAUGUCGCCAGAGGAUGCUGGGAGGAACACUGAGCCGACCUCUCCGUUAGGCUGAAGAUUGCACAAACCAUGAUAAUGGCCAGCAUGGAUGGAGGGAGCGUGUGAGAUGUGCGGGGCAGUGUGCUACGUCUCAGCCAACUCUAGGAGCCUGUUGAUGUGAUGGACUACAUUAAUUGAUUUUUGAAUGUUGAGCCAGCCUUAUGCAUGUGGGAUAGAUGCCUGUUGAUCAUG
RNAcentral lists this long non-coding RNA (265 nucleotides) under Pongo abelii (Sumatran orangutan). RNAcentral's name for it is "lincRNA". Lineage: Eukaryota; Metazoa; Chordata; Mammalia; Primates; Hominidae. The record is from RNAcentral.